This 72-nucleotide transfer RNA is filed under the name Bacillus sp. AFS073361. RNAcentral's name for it is "tRNA-Asn". It matches the Rfam family "tRNA". Rfam says of the family: Transfer RNA (tRNA) molecules are approximately 80 nucleotides in length. The record is from RNAcentral. Lineage: Bacteria; Bacillati; Bacillota; Bacilli; Caryophanales; Bacillaceae.
ACCGCAGUAGGUAAGUGGCAGACCUUUCGGCAAUUUACCGAUCGGUAGUAGGUUCGAGUCCUACCUGCGGGG